AUUGAACGCUGGCGGCAGGCUUAACACAUGCAAGUCGAGCGGAGAUGAGGUGCUUGCACCUUAUCUUAGCGGCGGACGGGUGAGUAAUGCUUAGGAAUCUGCCUAUUAGUGGGGGACAACAUUCCGAAAGGAAUGCUAAUACCGCAUACGUCCUACUGGAGAAAGCAGGGGAUCUUCGGACCUUGCGCUAAUAGAUGAGCCUAGGUCGGAUUAGCUAGUUGGUGGGGUAAAGGCCUACCAAGGCGACGAUCUGUAGCGGGUCUGAGAGGAUGAUCCGCCACACUGGGACUGAGACACGGCCCAGACUCCUACGGGAGGCAGCAGUGGGGAAUAUUGGACAAUGGGGGGAACCCUGAUCCAGCCAUGCCGCGUGUGUGAAGAAGGCCUUAUGGUUGUAAAGCACUUUAAGCGAGGAGGAGGCUACUGAGACUAAUACUCUUGGAUAGUGGACGUUACUCGCAGAAUAAGCACCGGCUAACUCUGUGCCAGCAGCCGCCGUAA
This 501-nucleotide ribosomal RNA is filed under the name uncultured bacterium. Its description in RNAcentral is "partial 16S ribosomal RNA". It matches the Rfam family "Bacterial small subunit ribosomal RNA", at positions 30 to 523 of the family's 1533-position model. The record is from RNAcentral.